This 85-nucleotide transfer RNA is filed under the name Ectopseudomonas mendocina. RNAcentral's name for it is "Pseudomonas mendocina tRNA-Leu(tag)". It matches the Rfam family "tRNA". From Rfam's summary of the family: Transfer RNA (tRNA) molecules are approximately 80 nucleotides in length. Their secondary structure includes four short double-helical elements and three loops (D, anti-codon, and T loops). RNAcentral also lists the same sequence under 190 other names. Lineage: Bacteria; Pseudomonadati; Pseudomonadota; Gammaproteobacteria; Pseudomonadales; Pseudomonadaceae. The record is from RNAcentral.
GCGGACGUGGUGAAAUUGGUAGACACACCAGAUUUAGGUUCUGGCGCCGCAAGGUGUGAGAGUUCGAGUCUCUCCGUCCGCACCA